CCCAGUGGCACCAAGGAACAAAAUGUAGGGAAGUAGGGAAGUAUCAAAGGUCCCACUGAAACUUCGACAGUGGGAGACCUGGUGAGUUCUGCAACCCAAAAAGGCCUGGACAUCCUUGGAAAACAACAGGGGUGGAUCCUUUCCAUGGUAAAGAAAAACCAAUUCAUAGCAUCCAGCCAAGUGAAGAACGCUCUCCAGGAUGUAGGUAUAUUAUUAUCCAAGUCUACCAUAAUGAGAAGACUUCACAAGAGCAAAUACAGUGGGUUCACAAAAAGGUGCAAAAUUCAUAAGACUCAAGAAUAGAAAGG
This is a non-coding RNA of Pelobates cultripes (western spadefoot toad), 308 nucleotides long. The record is from the annotation of a GenBank genome assembly. Lineage: Eukaryota; Metazoa; Chordata; Amphibia; Anura; Pelobatidae.